This 323-nucleotide unclassified non-coding RNA is filed under the name Hevea brasiliensis (rubber tree). The record is from RNAcentral. Lineage: Eukaryota; Viridiplantae; Streptophyta; Magnoliopsida; Malpighiales; Euphorbiaceae.
AAACACACCAAAUUUGAAAAUACAAAAAGGAGGCUUAUUUAUAGGCUCUCAAACAAAAGAUAGUCCUAGAGAUAAGAAAAGAAAUCGUACUUAAACUACUUCUCCUUAAACUAGGAUAAUUACAAACUGAAAAUAGAUAAACAUAAAAUAAUAAAAUUAACCUAAAAGAGCUAGGAAAAGUUUUCUCUCCAUCAAUCAACAUGGAGACGCCGACCUUGCUUGUGAAAGGAAUCUUGAACUUCAUGUCCUAGCUUGGACAGGUUUUGGAAGGGGCUGAUUAAGUGUCUCCUUGACUUGAGCCUUAGGACUGGGAAGGAUAUCUG